GAUGAAGAACGUAGCGAAAUGCGAUAAGUAAUGUGAAUUGCAGAAUUCAGUGAAUCAUCGAAUCUUUGAACGCACAUUGCGCCCGCCAGUAUUCUGGCGGGCAUGCCUGUUCGAGCGUCAUUUCAACCAUCAAGCCCCCGGCUUGUGUUGGGGACCUGCGGCUGCCCGCAGGCCCUGAAAACCAGUGGCGGGCUCGCUGUCACUCCGAGCGUAGUAGCAUAUAUCUCGCGCAGGGCGUGCUGCGGGUUCCGGCCGUUAAAAGCCUUUUUUUACCCAAGGUUGACCUCGGAUCAGGUAGGAAGACCCGCUGAACUUAAGCAUAUCAAUAAGCGGAGGA
This 337-nucleotide unclassified non-coding RNA is filed under the name soil metagenome. Its description in RNAcentral is "partial contains 5.8S ribosomal RNA, internal transcribed spacer 2, and large subunit ribosomal RNA". The stretch from base 1 to 120 matches the Rfam family "5.8S ribosomal RNA", at positions 35 to 154 of the family's 154-position model. The record is from RNAcentral.